RNAcentral lists this ribosomal RNA (487 nucleotides) under uncultured Thermoplasmatales archaeon. RNAcentral's name for it is "bacterial SSU rRNA". It matches the Rfam family "Archaeal small subunit ribosomal RNA", at positions 337 to 828 of the family's 1478-position model. Lineage: Archaea; Methanobacteriati; Thermoplasmatota; Thermoplasmata; Thermoplasmatales. The record is from RNAcentral.
AGGCGCGAAAACUGCACAAUGUGGGAAACCACGAUGCGGGAAACCCAAGUGCCAGCGCUAUGCGUUGGCUGUCCUCCAGUGUUCGUAACUGGGGAAGAAAGUGCUGGGUAAGACGGGUGCCAGCCGCCGCGGUAAUACCCGCAGCACAAGUGGUGGUCAUUAUUAUUGGGCCUAAAGCGUCCGUAGCUGGCCUGUUAGAUGCCUGGGUAAAUCGAUGCGCUCAACGCAUCGAAUUCCGGGUAGACCGGCAGGCUUGGGACCGGGAGAGGUGUAAGCUACUCGGGGGGUAGGGGUAAAAUCCUGUAAUCCUCCGGGGAGGACCAGUGGCGAAGGCGCUACACUAGAACGGCUCCGACAGUGAGGGACGAAGCCCUGGGGCGCAAACCGGAUUAGAUACCCGGGUAGUCCAGGGUGUAAACGCUGCAGACUUGGUGUCGCUGAUCCUACGAGGGUGGCGGUGCCGUAGAGAAGUGUUUAGUCUGCCGCC